Molecule: transfer RNA, 84 nt
Filed under: Alphaproteobacteria bacterium
Lineage: Bacteria; Pseudomonadati; Pseudomonadota; Alphaproteobacteria
Description: tRNA-Ser
Rfam family: tRNA
About the family: Transfer RNA (tRNA) molecules are approximately 80 nucleotides in length. Their secondary structure includes four short double-helical elements and three loops (D, anti-codon, and T loops).
Source: RNAcentral
GUUCCUUAAUCAAGGCUCUCUGGUCAUCCUUAGAGCUGACUUUUAAUCAGCGGGUCGUAGGUUCGAAUCCUACAGGGCACACCA